This 29-nucleotide non-coding RNA is filed under the name Rattus norvegicus (Norway rat). Lineage: Eukaryota; Metazoa; Chordata; Mammalia; Rodentia; Muridae. The record is from RNAcentral.
UUGGACGUGCUCCAGCGAUACUACCAGAU